AUGCUGCGUGACCGGGUCCGGCCUCUCUUCUACACCCGGAUGCGGCUGGGGGAGUUCGACCCCCCGGCCAUGAACCCCUAUAGUGCCCUGAACCUGAGCGUGGUGCAGAGCCCCGAGCACCGAAACCUGUCCCUGGAAGCUGCCAUCAAGAGCUUUGUGCUGCUGAAGAACUCAGGGGGGACACUGCCCCUCCGGGCCCAGGACCUGCCUGGCAAGCGCCUUGCGGUUGUGGGUCCCUUCGCUGACAACCCCCGGGUGCUGUUUGGGGACUACGCGCCGGUGCCGGAGCCGCGGUACAUCUACACCCCGCGGAGGGGGCUGGAGACGCUGCCGGUCACCGUCAGCUUCGCAGCCGGCUGCCAUGACCCGCGGUGCCAGCAGUACUCACGGGCAGAGGUGGUGGGUGCCGUGGGGGCUGCCGACGUGGCUGUGGUGUGCCUGGGCACAGGGACCGGUGUGGAGACGGAGGCAAGGGACCGGGGUGACCUGUCCCUGCCGGGGCACCAGCUGGAGCUGCUGCAGGAUGCAGUGCAGGCAGCCGCCGGGCGCCCUCUGAUCCUGCUGCUGUUCAACGCGGGGCCGCUGGACGUGAGCUGGGCGCAGGCACACGAGGCUGUGGGUGCCAUCCUGGCAUGCUUCUUCCCUGCCCAGGCCGCUGGCCUCGCCAUAGCCAAGGUGCUGCUGGGGGAGCCUGGGGCCAGCCCUGCUGCCAGGCUGCCGGCCACAUGGCCCGCGGGCAUGCACCAGGUGCCACCGAUGGAGAACUACACCAUGGAGGGACGGACAUACCGGUACUAUGGGCAGGAGCCCCCUCUUUACCCCUUUGGUUAUGGGUUGUCCUACACCACCUUCCGCUACCGGGACCUGGUGCUGAUCCCCCCGGUGCUGCCCAUCUGUGCCAACCUCUCCGUGUCUGUGGUGCUGGAGAACACGGGGCAGCGGGAUGGUAAGGAGGUGGUGCAGCUGUACUUGCGGUGGGAGCAGCCGUCCGUGCCUGUGCCACGCUGGCAGCUGGUGGCUUUCCGGCGUGUGGCUGUGCCAGCUGGCGAGGCCAUGAAGCUGUCCCUGCAGGUGUCGGUGGAGCAGCGUGCGGUGUGGGCACAGGGCUGGCGCCUGGAGCCUGGCUCCUUCACCCUCUUCGCUGGGGGGCAGCAGCCGGAGCAGCAGCUGCGGGUGCCCUCGGAGGUGCUGAGUGUGCCAUUCACUGUCACUGGCACAGCCCGGCCCCUGAAUCAGUGCUAGGGAUGGGGACAGCCAUGGGAUCACAGCCUGGUUCGGGUUGGGACCCUGAGAUCACCCAGUUCCAACCCUCACACUGGACCGUGUCACCCAAGGGCCUGGCCAGCCUGGUCCUGAGCACUGCCAGGGAUGGGGCAGCCACAGCUGCUCUGGGCACCCUGUGCCAGCGCCUCAGCACCCUCACAGUAAAGAACUUCUGCCUCAGAUCUAACCUGAACUUCCCAUUUCAGUCUGAACCCAUCACCCCUUGUCCUGUCCCUACAGUCCCAGAUGCAGAGUCC
Molecule: long non-coding RNA, 1520 nt
Organism: Melopsittacus undulatus (budgerigar)
Lineage: Eukaryota; Metazoa; Chordata; Aves; Psittaciformes; Psittaculidae
Source: Ensembl